This 377-nucleotide ribosomal RNA is filed under the name uncultured bacterium. Its description in RNAcentral is "bacterial SSU rRNA". It matches the Rfam family "Bacterial small subunit ribosomal RNA", at positions 523 to 898 of the family's 1533-position model. The record is from RNAcentral.
AUACGUAGGGGGCGAGCGUUAUCCGGAUUUACUGGGUGUAAAGGGAGCGUAGGUGGCGAAGCAAGUCAGAUGUGAAAGCCCGGGGCUUAACUCCGGGACUGCAUUUGAAACUGUUUUGCUAGAGUGCAGGAGAGGUAAGUGGAAUUCCUAGUGUAGCGGUGAAAUGCGUAGAUAUUAGGAGGAACACCAGUGGCGAAGGCGGCUUACUGGACUGUAACUGACACUGAGGCUCGAAAGCGUGGGGAGCAAACAGGAUUAGAUACCCUGGUAGUCCACGCUGUAAACGAUGAAUACUAGGUGUUGGGGAGCGUAAGCUCUUCGGUGCCGUCGCAAACGCAUUAAGUAUUCCACCUGGGGAGUACGUUCGCAAGAAUGAA